Molecule: long non-coding RNA, 744 nt
Filed under: Rattus norvegicus (Norway rat)
Lineage: Eukaryota; Metazoa; Chordata; Mammalia; Rodentia; Muridae
Description: long non-coding RNA NONRATT028820
Source: RNAcentral
UUGUUACAUUUAUUUACUUGUGUGCGAGGAGGUCAGAGGCUAACUUGCGGGAGGCAGUUUUCUCUUUUCAUCAUGAGUGCACCAGGGAUAAAACUCAGGUUAUCCGGCUUAGCAGUAAACACCUUUAUCUCACUCACCCUCCUGUUUGUGUCUCACUCUGUAGCCCAGGCUGGCCUCAAACUGGUAGCCAUUUCCUGCUUCAGUGUCCUGAGUGCUGGGGUUACCAGAGUGAGUUGCCAUGCCUGGCUUUAUUUCUAACAGCUGGUCCUUUGGAAACGAACUGUAUAAUUUUAUACCUACAGGCUAUAUUGAAUAUGAUCUCCACAGUUUUCACAGAUACUGGGAAGGUGGGGUGCACAGUUUUCUUCACAGGGGAUACCCUGAACAGUGUUUCCUAUUUCUAAAACCUUCCUUUAGUUCUCAGAAAGAUAUACACGUUUUAAACCUUUAUUAGAGAAAUAUUUGACCCAAAACACCCACAGAGAAAUAAUAGCCAGACAGGUUGCUGCAUUUAUAUUCUUAGUAAAACUCCAGAGGUAAAUGAACCCUGUGUCUUGUGUUAGAUUCUUACCUUACGCUCACUUUGAAGGAAUGAAACAAGAAGAGGCUACAGGACUGAAAUCUGUGUCAGGGGGAGGGAUUUGGAAAAGGCUUUGAAGAACUCAGGCCUCAUCUGUGAUCGACGGAUGGGGGAACUCGGCUUGCGAUUCGCCACUGUAGUUUCUAGCCUGUCAGUGAGGCCUC